This 498-nucleotide ribosomal RNA is filed under the name uncultured bacterium. RNAcentral's name for it is "partial 16S ribosomal RNA". It matches the Rfam family "Bacterial small subunit ribosomal RNA", at positions 30 to 523 of the family's 1533-position model. The record is from RNAcentral.
AUUGAACGCCGGCGGCAUGCUUUACACAUGCAAGUCGAACGGUAACAGGCCGCAAGGUGCUGACGAGUGGCGAACGGGUGAGUAAUGCAUCGGAACGUGCCCAGUCGUGGGGGAUAACGCAGCGAAAGCUGUGCUAAUACCGCAUACGAUCUAUGGAUGAAAGCGGGGGACCGUAAGGCCUCGCGCGAUUGGAGCGGCCGAUGUCAGAUUAGGUAGUUGGUGGGGUAAAGGCUCACCAAGCCAACGAUCUGUAGCUGGUCUGAGAGGACGACCAGCCGCACUGGGACUGAGACCCGGCCCAGGCUCUUACGGGAGGCAGCAGUGGGGAAUUUUGGACAAUGGGCGCAAGCCUGAUCCAGCAAUGCCGCGUGCAGGAAGAAGGCCUUCGGGUUGUAAACUGCUUUUGUACGGAACGAAAAGGUUUGGGUUAAUACCCUGGGCCGAUGACGGUACCGUAAGAAUAAGCACCGGCUAACUACGUGCCAGCCGCCGCGGUAA